This 8614-nucleotide long non-coding RNA is filed under the name Medicago truncatula (barrel medic). RNAcentral's name for it is "long non-coding RNA (MTRU_LNC006595)". The stretch from base 4555 to 4659 matches the Rfam family "MIR2587 microRNA precursor family". The record is from RNAcentral. Lineage: Eukaryota; Viridiplantae; Streptophyta; Magnoliopsida; Fabales; Fabaceae.
UGGAAGUGUUUGAGCAAAAAAGAGGGGAAAAAAACUUUCAGAAGCAGAAAUUUCAACGCAUAAACUGAGAAAUUGAAAAUUAAGCAUAAAAAAAAAGUGAAUUAAGAAGAAAAAGGUGAGAAUUGAAGAGAAGAAAGAUGAGAGAGGUUACCAGAAAGGAAGAUCUAGAGACUGAGAAGCAAGAUCUGAGGGUUUGAAGAACUAAAACCUCUGAAAAAUGGGAGAAGAAGCUUCAUACAUUUUGGACCGUUGGAUCGUGAUCGUAGAAACGUUGAGGUCCGAAAUAUAGAAAUAUCGGAGGUGAGUGAGAGAGAGAAAGAGAGAAGAAACACAGGUACUGGUUCGUAAUUUCUCAGCGAAGUUUCGGGUAGUUUGGGCAGCGGAAAGAAAGUGUAAAAAUCGAAUUACGGGCUGCCCGAACAUGCAAGUAAGGACAAGUGUGGGUUUUGUUAAUUUGAUAUGGUUUUUUAUGAGAAUGAUUUUUGUUCAUUACCCGGUCUUCACCGGAAAGUCAAGUUUUUUUAUUCUUAAAAAUAACUAUAAAAUCUUUUUAAUAGUAAAAAUACUUCACACGUGUAAGAGACUCUCACGUGUGAUGUAGUACCUGUUGUCUGCAAUAUUCUUCCUAAGAGGUUAUCUUCUUUGACCAUGGUUAGUUACUUGGUUUAGCUAGGGUUGACUACACCAGAUGGAGUUGGAGAGUUGUUGAAAUAUCAAGGGUAUAAUAAAUUCGUAAAUUAAAACGGAAUCAAAACCACGGAGAUAUUUUUCGGAAUUAAAUAAUCUGGCAUAGGGAACCUUUUAAAGGUGGAAUAAACCAUCAAACAAUUUUAAUUGAGCUCCCGAAUAAGUAAAAGUUAAAGGUUAAUGAUUCAAAAUAAAAAAUGAUUGAUGAAUUUUACUUUGAAAGAAUUACUUUAUAUUGUUUUAAUGUGUUGAAUACACAAUUUUUAAAAUAAAAUUUUUAUUUUAAAUUUUUUAACAAAUAUCUUUAGAACGCUUGUUAGCAUUUUUCAAAGUUAAAUACUACUCUCUCCGUUUCUUUUUAAGUGUCAUUUUUAGAGAAAUUUUUUGUCCUAUUUAAUUGUCACUUUCAAAGUUCAAUAUAACAAUAAAUGUUGUUUUACAAACAUUACCCUUAAUUAUUUAUCAUGGAGAAAGAAAUAUAUGAAAUAAGAUAUUAAAUGACUAAGGCUAUUAUAGUAAAAGUAUAAAUUAUUAUAUAAGAAAAAAUAACAUUUAUUGAAUGUCUUGGUUUGUGUAAAGUGUCAAAAAGUGACCGUUAAAAAGGAACGGAGUUAGUACAACUUUGAUCCUUAUAACUUCUAAAAAAAUAGGUGUCACACAAUUUUCAAUAAACAGUUUUUCUUUGUUCCAAAAGUAAUGUUCCAAAAGUACUUAUAGCAUUUAUCUUAAAAGUUAAAAUGUUAUGCUAACAAGUUUUUCAAGAGCAUUUGUUAGAAAUUGAAAAUGAAAAUAAGUGACAAAUUCAAAGCGAAAUAAGUCAAUUUUAAAAAGUUUAAAGGUGUUAGAUACAUCAUUUUUAAGAGAGUGUUACUUUUCCCAUCCUGUGUUAUUCUCGCACGCCUUUUUUUUUUUUUUAAAUAUCCCUGGUCCGGAUUUUAUUUUUCGAACCAGAUUGUUAGUGUUUUCUGAAUUUUAAAAGUCGGAAAGCUCUUUUUCUAGAAUUUUUUUAUUUUAAGCUUUCAAAUUCGUAAAAUAAUUGCAAAAAAAAAAUAUAAAAUAGAAAUAAAAAGACAAAAAGAUAAAAACAACUCAUUUUAAUGAUACAGUAUAAACUCUAUAAAUUAAUAAUGUCGGGACCGGAGAAAUUUAUUAAUUUAGAGAGUUAUUAAUUUAUUGAUAAAUUAAUAAUUAUUAAUUUAAAGAGUUUUUAAGUAAUUAUACUGUACAUACCAAACAAAAAGGCAAAUUAGUCUAUGUCUCUUAGAAUUACGUUGCACCAAAUCUUGGGACUCAAUGUAAAUUAAUAAAUAUUGUAUUCAUAUCCAUUGGAAAUAUGACUUUUGACUUUUGAAGUGUAUAGUAAAUGUAAACAAGUGGAAUGUUCAAUGUAUUCUUAAGCAAGUUUGGCAUAUAUAAAUUACACAUGAAUGUGUUAAAAGUAUUCAAACCAUAUCUCACUCACGAGAUGGCUUCUCAUCUAAAAGGUGUUGCAAAAUCAACUAUGUCAGAUCAAAUACGUAAGGAGUUGUGCGAGUACAAGAGAGAUAAUCCUGCAAGCACACAAAAAGACUUGCAGAGAUGGCUUGAGGAAAAAUUUCAGUUGAAAGUUAGUCAAGGAACAAUAUCAAACACACUUAAGCGGUCAAAUGACUAUCUCUCUGCUGAAAUAGAAAAGGGAAGAGCGGAGAUCAAAAGACACAAACCAGCAAAAUAUCCUGACAUGGAGAAGGUUGUUUAUGAGUGGUUUCUACAGCAUCAAGAACGUGUGAAUAUCACAGGAGAAUUAAUUUUGCAGAAGGCAAGAGAUACAACGAAACUCUUGUACCCUCAUGAUGAUUCAGAUUUUAACUUCUCUACAGGAUGGCUUGGGAAAUUCAAGCACCGACAUGGCAUAAAGUCAUUUCGUCGUUUUGGCGAGAGUGGGUCUGUUGAUGUACAAGACAUGGAGCAGAAAUUGGUAUCGAUUCGAGAGAAAAUUGAUCAGUUCCCUAUGAAAGAUGUUUUCAAUAUGGAUGAAACUGGGUUGUUUUAUAGGCUACAAGCUGAUCAUUCACUGGCAACAAAACAACUUGAAGGAAGAAAACAAGAUAAAGAAAGGCUGACGGUAGUUAUUUGUUGCAAUGAAGGUGGCUCUGAAAAAAUCCCUCUAUGGAUUAUUGGGAAAUAUGCAAAGCCUCGUUGCUUCAAGAAUGUCAACAUGAAUAGCUUGGAUUGUCAGUAUCGAGCUAACAAAAAAGCAUGGAUGACUAGUGUGCUUUUUGAUGAAUAUGUUCGUUCAUUUGACCAAAUGAUGCAUGGUAGAAGAGUUCUACUUGUGGUGAAUAAUUGUCCAGCACAUCCAAGAAAUAUUGAAGGGUUAAGAAACGUUGAGUUGUUCUUCUUGCCACCCAACAUGACAUCAAAGAUUCAACCUUGCGAUGCUGGGAUAAUAAGAGCUUUCAAGAUGCAUUAUCGUAGAAGGUUUUACCGCAAAAUAUUGGAAGGUUAUGAGGUGGGACAAUCUGAUCCAGGGAAGAUAAAUGUCCUUGAUGCUAUCAAUUUGGCAAUCCCAGCUUGGACGAUAGAUGUUCGAAAAGAAACAAUAGUGAAUUGCUUUCGACACUGUAAAAUUCGUUCAGCUAGUGACGUUGUAGGAAAUUUGGAUGAAUCCACUUUUGAUGAAGAAACUCAAGACCUCCAGACUAUGAUCAAUCAAUGUGGCUAUCGUAAUAAGAUGGAUAUCGACAAUCUAAUGAACUACCCAGGUGAAAAUGAAGCAUGUUCGGAGGUUCAGAGUUUAGAAGAUAUUGUGCGUACUAUCAUUGAGAACAAUGCAGAGGAUGACGACAAAGAUGAUACGGUGUCUUUGGAGCCUGUUACGCGAAAGGAAGCACUUAUGGCGUCGAACACUCUUCACAACUUUAUGAUACAAUACAAAAAUACAACACCUCAGCUAUUGGAUGCAAUAAGAAAAGUUAGAGAUGAGCUCCAAACAGACUUGAACUUAACAAACAACUAUUGAAUCAUAUUUCAACAAAGUGUAAUAUAUUUUUUUUCAGUUUCUAUGAAUUAUUAAUUUAUGAUUUUCUUGGGACCGAAAAUUAUAAAGGGAUCUCCCAAAAAAUUAUUAUCUUAUUAUUUUAUCGAAUUAUUCAAUUUUUUACACUGGCCUAAGUCGGGACCGGACAAAUUUAUUAUUUUAGAGAGUUUAUUAAUUUACCGAGUAUUAAUUUAAAGAUUUUCUACUGUAUAUGAAUAAUACAUUACAAUAAUGUUGAAGUUUUUUAAACUUAUUACAUAAUAACCUAAAACUAUUUCUAAUCUCCUAAGUUAUAUUAGUGGCUACCACUGGUGGAGAGGAAAGAGGAGGGAGUGGAAGAAGAAAGUGAUGAUGGCGAGGGCCGGUAUUGGUGUAGUUAUAAGGGGGUUAUAUUUUAUUUAAUGUUAUUGUUUGAAUAUUUUGGAUAAUUAUGUUAUGUAACAUUUGGAUAAUUAUGUUUGAUUAAUGUUCAAUGUUUGGAUAAUUAUGUUGUGUUGUUGUUUGAUUAAUGUUAUAGAUUGAUUUUUCUGUUUGAAAAACUGGUCGAAAUCAUAACCAGUUGAGUGUCGUUGCUCUAAAACAGAGGCUCAGCCAAAACAAAUGGCUUAUGCUUCUGUGCUCAUGCAGUUCGGAUUAUAAAAUCCAGAAACUCAUUUUGCACCCCAUUUGGUGACUUUCAACGGGAUGAUUUACACAUUUCGGAUUAUAUAAUCUGGAAUGUGUAAAAACAGUUCGAAUUAUGUAAUCUGAAUCCAUCCGUUGAAAAUUGAAAUCGACAAAUUCCUUCAUUCUUCACUUCAUCUCUUUUCUUUCAUUUUAUUCAAAAAAUUUAAGUUUUGUAGAAGUGCUUGUAGUGUCAGUGCCAUUGUUGACCGUUCAUACGACUCCUGCAAUUGCAUUGCAACUUAAGCGAGGGUUAUAUAACGGUCAACAGAGACCCUUGACAUCAAAAAAGACACAAAAAUUUCAUAUCGAUUUUGUCCUGUCUUUGUACCAAAUUCUCAAUUUGGUCCCUUACUCUAUUAAUAACUCAAAAUGGUCUUGGUAUUUGUCAAAUAUUUUUCAGAUUGGUCUCUGACUCUAUUAGUUGUUUUGCAUUUUAAGUGUUAAUGGCUCAAUGUCUUUUGGAUAUUAUUCAGUUGUUAAUGACAUAAUACCUUUUGGAUCCUAUUUGGUGCGUCAAUGACUUAAAAUGCAAAACAAAUAAUAGAGUCAGGGACCAAUAUGAGGAAUGUUUGACAAAGACAUGAACCAUUUUAAAUUAUUAAUAGAGUCAGGGACCAAUUUGAUAAUUUGGUAUAAAGACUGGGACCAAUUUCGUGGUUUAAUCUGGAGUAAUUUGAAAGGCCAACAAUUAUAGAGGAUGUAUUUCAUAAUGUAUGACAACUAAUGUGUAAAAUACACGGUUUUUGAACUAUAUUAGUGUCACCAUGAUAUGACUAAACUAAUGUAAUACAAUUUUAUCAGAUGACUUUUUAUACUACAGUUUUGAUUUACAGUAACUUAUUCGUGUCUGUUUCAUACUCGGCUAACUGCUAGCAACUCUUAUCAAAUUCAUGGUUGCUGCAAACAUUUUAAAUCAACAUUCAACAUCAGGAAGAAAAAACAGAUAAUUUCUAACAAACGUCUAAAUUACUAGAACAUGAGUUCAAGUUAAAACCCCCCCCCCCCCCCCCCCCCAAACGUUUUAUCUACAAUUGUUAAAGGAGCAUCCCAAAUACACCAUGGUUGGGUGCUCUUCUUACUGCAAGAAAGAAAGGAAAAAAAAAAAACUUCUGUCAUUGGAAGGUAUUAGAAAUUGAUGCAAUGGCAGAAUCCUUCCUCAAAUAAUAUAUAAUAGCACCAACAUUUUUGAGACCGUAGAUAAAUACAAGAAAAAUACUGCUAAAAUCCAAGGAAACAUGAAACACGCAGUGAAGUCUGCUGCUGGUACGCAUAAAGACAAGCGCACAAACGCCUCUGAAAGUAGAGCAAUGUAGCAAACUGGCCCAUUGGAAGUAGUUCACACUUCAUAUCAUUUGCUUAGAUCAUCCUCUACCCCGCCCAGCACCUACCAAAAGAAGAAAAGGUAUUUGAUUACUAUACAUUCUUUAACUUCAAGCUAUCAUUUCAAAAAUUAAAAAACAUAUAUAAUUUUUAUGCAUUUUUCGAACAAUAAAAUUUAACAUUAGAACCGUCACAUUAAAGAAUUGGUAAGACGUUCUUUCAACAAUAAUAACCUUUUUAGCAGAAUAACUUUCUAGUUUAUCAAGAGCUAAUCUUGUCUAGAUGAAAAAUAAAAGAUAAUACCAGGAAACUCUGAGAAAUAUGACAUGGUGAAUUUGAGGUAUUAGAUCAUAUGAUAAAUAUCUUAAAAUAUCUAAAUUCUCAAAGUAUCUUAAAUUAUUUCUUACUUACAAUUAGCUUCUGUAUUAUUUUUUUUUUAUAUUUUGUAAUUUGCUUCUUUAUUUGAUUAGAAUUAUAAAUCUAGUAUAACAAGUAAAGGUUAAUAUUUAGGGCCUGUUUGAAUCAAUUCCCGUUUUCAGUUCUCAAAUUUUCAUUUAUAAAUUAGUUUUUAAAAACUAUUUUUGAAGAAGAAAAUAAAAGAAAAAAUGUUUGGCAAUCAAAUUAGCAAAAACUGUUUUCAGGAUUGAUGUUAUUACGGAAAUGCCAUUAAUGAAAAGAGCUAGUUCUCCGUGUUUUUAGUUUGCAAAGGAAAAUCAAACCAAAAAAGCAAAACACCUAAAACCAGUUUCUGUUUUUUAGUUUUGAAAACUGAUUUUUUCAAAAUUGUUUCCGAAACUGUUAUUUCAAAAGUGUUUAAUCAAACAAGUUUUUAGUUCUUUAAUUUUUAAAAACCACAAAACAGUUUUUAAAAACUAAAUCAAACAGGCCCUAGUCUUUUGUAUCAUAAUUUAAAUAGAAGAAAACACAUAGAGGUGGUAAAACAUAAGAUGAGUGCAUCUAUGAUUUACCUCUGCUUCCUCCAGGCUUUCCACCUUGGCUAGUCCUGCCUCGGCCUCCGGCUCCUCUAGCACCACCAUCAUCAAAACCACGCCCAGGGCCUUUUGUUUGGCGUCCACCAGCACCAGCAGCAUCCUCCCUACCUCUACCCCUACCACGUCCCACACCAGGUGGCUUGCGAUCUGAAAAGGGUGACAUUGAUCAGAUAACUUUAUUUUUUAUAUAACUGGAAGGCUGCAUAAAAUGACAUUUCAACUUGUGUGGGAAUAUAAAUAUAAAUUUAUCAUUUGCUCAUUUAUAAACAAAAUAGAUUUUUCCUAAGUCAGAAUCAAUCAGAAGAAAACUAUAUAUGGAUCUUUAUUAUAACGAGCACACCAAUAUUCAUGUAUCAAGAUAAAGACCAAGUGCUAGAUCCAACAGGGGAAGUUUGUUGGGUUUGUUAUGAGGCAUCCAAAACACUACAGAUAUGUAAUUUUAGUGGAUCUGACACCAUAUUUCAAUCCAAAAUCUCAAGGUGUCAGAUUCACAGGUACUUCCGCUUUAUAUCUUACUCAGCUUGCCCAUUUCAAGUCAAUUUAGGAUUUAUCACACACACACACAUGACAUACUUGAACUCUCAAAAUAAACUAGAUAUCAAAAUAAUACUUCGUACCUGUACGGCUCUUUUCUUCCUGAACUUUGUCAAUAACCUAAAUCAAAAGCAAUAAAGCAAAAUUAGUUGACAAAACUAUGUACAAGUCAGACAUCACUUAACAAAUUAUCUCCAAUGCAGAAGCUCUAAACAAAAGUAUGAGCACAGCCUUGAGGCUUAAACCCUCAAGCGCAAGGUUUUUCCCAACUAAACUCAUGACCAACAGAUCACAAGGUAAGGUUCACCUUCUUAGCAACCUAUUCGCCAAUGGUUUUCUUAAAUAACUAAAAGCGUACCAAUCAACACCAUUACAUACCUCAUCAGGAACUCGAAGGUACUUGAUCGUAUUUCCUCGUAUGUAGCAUUCAGGCAUCCGCCAAAAUCUAUCUCCAUCCUACAUUCCCAAUUUCAAUCAAAAUCCAUAAACCAACCUUUCAACAAUAACAAAUUAAAAAGACAACAAAACUAAGAACACUUAAAAGAGCAUUACUUUAGAGGUACAAAUAACUUCUCGGAGAUGAAUGUUCAUCCAUGUAUCACAAUUAACCAAAUGCCCGUUAUAUGUCUCUCCAUUUUUCAGCUCCACCAACUGUUACAACAAGUUCAAAAAACAUUAAUUAACAACAACAAAAAUCAAAAAGUAAAAUAAAUAAAAAGGUUUUUGUUACUUACCAUAGGGUGGCCUUGUGCAGUCUUAAGAAGAGAAAGAGGAAGCUGCAACAAAAUAAAUGAACAUAAUUGCAAACAUAACAAUAAUUAACAGUGACUGUAACAUAAACCCUAGUAGUUCAAUUUUGUUAAAGAGAAUUUUCUGAUUCAUGGCGACAUGGUAUGAUGAAUCGAAGAAUUUGUUAAAUAAUAAAAUUUAGAAAAAGAAAGUAGUUACCAUGUUGAUGUUGAUGUUGAUGAUUGGUGUGUUUGAACUUCAAGUGCCGUCGAUGAUGAAGUUGAGCGAUUCAAAAGAGCAGAGUGUGAGAGAAAGCGGAGGAAGGAAAGAGAACCCUCACUUUGUGAUUGUUCUUGAUUCUUCUUUAUUCCCCUGUAUUUAUAGAGAAACUUAAAUGAAACAUGAAAAAAAUUGAACAACUCACCAAAAGUCUAAGUGUUGCAGCAAAAAAAAAAAACUUUCAGAAGCAGAAAUUUUAACGCAGAGACUGAGAAAUUGAAAAUAAAGCAUAAAAAAAUAAUUAAGAAGAAAAAAGUGAGAAUUAGCGAGAAUUGAAGAGAAGAAAGAUGAGAGAGGUUAACAGGAAGGAAGAUUUAGAGACUGAGAAACAAGAUCUGAGGUUUGAAGAAUUAAAACCUCUGAAAAAUUGGAAUUAAGAAGAAAAGCC